GAAGAUGUGGCUCAGUGGUAGAGAGUACUUGCCUAGCAAGCAUGAGGCCCUAAGUUCAACUCUUACUACUACA
RNAcentral lists this transfer RNA (73 nucleotides) under Dipodomys ordii (Ord's kangaroo rat). It matches the Rfam family "tRNA". From Rfam's summary of the family: Transfer RNA (tRNA) molecules are approximately 80 nucleotides in length. The record is from Rfam by way of RNAcentral. Lineage: Eukaryota; Metazoa; Chordata; Mammalia; Rodentia; Heteromyidae.